UCGGGGGAGGGUAUAAGGGAGCCCAGGGACACUGGGGCACCAGCUCGUUAACACGUGUGUAUGAAUGCCGGCUGUGCGCUUGGCAAAUCCUUAAUUACACAGGGAGAACUUCCUGAACCGGGAACUCAGUAUCGGUCCCUGAAAGGUUGGGUAAUGGCUUCUUCUUGCAUCUGGAAUCCAAGGGGACCAAUCUCUCUGGCUCCCCUGGGCUCUCAGAUUCUUCUAGAUGUCUUUGUCUUCUAAAAUUCUGGGAUCCCAAGGGAAGACACAUAGUUAAGGACACUCAGAAAUGCAUACCUUUCAACCCUACUAAUCAUCCUAAAACCUGUGCUUUCAACAUAUCACGUCCUUGAUCUGUAACCCUCAGGGGCACCCACGAUCUCCAAUGACUGGGAGUGAUGGCAUUUAAGUCUUUCCACCAUGCAGAAGUUUCUUCCCUCAUUCCCCAUGAAUUCUCUCCUGUAGCCAGCCUGGCCCCUCAUAACCCCUUGGAUAUACUGUAUCUUGAAUUCUCCAGCCUUUCUGCAGUUGCCUUCCUGGGACAUUCAUUCCCAUGUUCACAAUCUAGCCAAUUGUAUCCCUUCUCUAUUCAGUUCUAGCAUCAGUCAGUCAAUCAACAAGCAUUUAUUGAAAGUCCACUAUGUACAAGACAUGUUCUAGGCCCUGGUAAUACAUCAGAGACUGAGACAAAUACCUGUUCUUAAGGAUUUUAUAUUUUAAUGGGAGAAACAGAGUAGACUCAUGGCUCACGCCUAUAAUCCCAGGACUUUGGGAGGCCAAGGCAAGAGGAUCACUUGAGGCCAGGAGCUCAAAACCAGCCUGGGCAGCAAGUGUCUUCUUUUGCCUCUGCAAAAGAAAAUUAAAAAUAACAAAAAAAGGAAGCUAAACUAGAGUAUUGUGGUAGAGGGGUGUGUGUGUGUGCAUGUGGGUGCAUCCGUGUGUGUGGUAGGUUGAUGGGUGCUGUUUUAUUUAGCCAGGGAAGGUCUCUUUGAGGAGGUGGCAUUCGAGACCUUCUGGGUGGGAAGGAGGCAGCCAUGUGGUGAUCUGGGGAAGAGUGCUGCAAGCAGAAAGGCAAGUAAAAACAAAAGCCCUGAGGCAGAAAUGUGCUCCUUAUGCUUAAGAAACACCGUGAAGGCCAACGUGGUUGGAGCAAUGUGAGCAAGAAGAAUAGAGGGGCCUUGGGAACAUAGGUAGCUGAGUCCUCAUGGAUCAAGGCACCUUGACUUUAAGUGUCUGUUACACCAAAGGUUAUGGCAAACUGUGUCUGCAGCCCACAGUAAAAUCCAGUUUAAGGCUCUCCACACUGGAGUGCAGCUAUCCAGGUAGGUAGUGCCACCAGCCUAAGGUCACACCUUCUUCCUUGGCGUGAGGUUGCCCUACGUUGGCACUUAUCAUGGUCACUGCUUUGGUGACUGUCAUUCUGCCCAGGGCUUUAAGUGACCACCUUCCACAGACUCCCCCAUUUCAUACUACAGAGAAAGCAUCUUGUGUCUUACCUUCCCUCCCUUAGUGUGCUAGGACUGCCUGGUGAGUGGCACUAAAGGAUCAUCCCUUGGUUCCUGAUAUCUAGGAACCCACAUAUGCUUAAAAACAGCAAGAUAACUCCCCAGAUUGAAUCUCUGCAGGCUGAAAAGUUGGAUGGAUUCCAACUAGAGCACCAUUUCCCUAAUCCCACACACUUUUAAGGGACUAGAGACUGAGGAAUGUUCAGGGAUUAUCACAGAAUAUUCUGGUCCUUUUGUUGGAGCCUGAAAGCUCUUUAGAGCAAUUGAGUACACAGAAAUUCAGCCAGAAUGGGAGCACAAGCAGAAGCAGACCAAGCUAUUUCUCCCCUGAACACACACUCUGCACACUGACAGGUACAAAUAUAGCUAAAAGAAAUGACGAUUACAUAAGUUCCUAGCCAGUGUCCAGCACAUAGUAAGUCUAUCAGUUAGCUCUUCCUGUUUAACAAAUCUUCCCUAAACUUAGUGGCUCAAAACAACCACCCUUUAGCUUACGAUUCUGCAGUCUGGCAUAUUUCUGCCAGCUUGCCCAUGCUCAGAGGCCAGCUGCCUGGUGGGCUAGGGCCUGGCUGGACUAGGACAGCCUCAGCUGGGGCAGCUUCUCUGUGUUUCUCAUUCUCCAGCAGGCUAGCUUGGGCUUGUUCACACAAGUUUCCAGAGAGAGAAGUAGGCAAGAGCUUCAGAACCGUACAAACAAGGUCCGCUGCAUUCUACUGGCCACAGUGAGUCCCUAGGGCAGCCCCAGUCGAAGGAGCAGAGAGGUAGUCUGUUCCUCUUGAUGGAAGAGAGGCACAGAGUCAUUUAGCUUAGGGGUAAACAUAUAGACGCAGUGAAGGAUUGUGGCCACUUUUACAAUCUACCACUGUAGCUACCAAUAAGUUCUGUGUUUACAGUUUUUCAGCCAUUUCCAAAAGGAAUUAUAUUGAUGUGUUAGUUGACAAGCCUACAAUGAAAAGAUAGAUGGGAAAAGAAGACCAUCAGACAGGUGGCUGGAUAUGUGGAGACAAGCACGAAGAAGUCCAGGCUCUGUCACGACGUUGCUGACUGGCUUCUGUCACAUUUUCAGCAGAGCAGACGCUGUUGGCUUCUCAUCUUCACUCACACAACCCUCUUUUCCACAGGCAUCUUUUAGCUAGAGGUGCGCGUGUGACACCACAUGGACUGUGAGAAAUAGUCAAGUUCAGCCUAGUGACGCUUCUGGCAAAGCUUGUUUUCCUGAUUUUUAAAAAAGGAGUUGGGGGAGUGCCAUGCCUUUUGUCCUUCCUCCCUCCUCCUGCCUGGAACAUGGAUGUGAGACCAGGAAGUACAGCAGCCAUCUUGUGACCAUGAGGACUAAAGGCCUGCGCUGAGGAUGCCAGCAGGUUCUCUUCAACACCCCAGCCCUGGAGAGCCGCAGAUUGGACAACGGGCAGACUUUGUUGAACAGAUGAACAACUGUGGCUAAAUCUGUUUUGGAAAAAAAAAAAAAAAAGACCUGAAGCAAUUGAUAAACAAGAGGCUGAGGUCAGUGUGAAGGAAGAAUAAAUGAGGCCAGAUUGGAGAACGUUGAAAAGUGAUGUCUGCUGGGACAAUGGCGCACAAGCAGAGGAGAUAUUCAUCAGCUGUACAUCUGCUGUUCCUUGCUGCCCCACAAGCCCAGAAUUCUGGUUGUCUUACAAUGUUCGGAGGUUCAGUGACAUGUGUGUUUCAUCUUUGAUUGGUAAGUGGGGGUGCUGACAGCCCUGAGAGGUCACAUUUUCCAUUCAAACCAGAACUUGUUUUGAAUGCAGAAAAAAAGGCAAUGGCAUUCUAAAAAAUGUGAAUGACCAGGGAAAUGGAUCAUAUAUCUUUUCUUACUUGUUAUAUUUCCCUGUAUUAGCUAAUCACAUAUGCUGAACAUGAAGACGUAGAAGAAAUGGGAAAUAUUGGGCAAUGUAUAGUUCUUUUUCCUUUCAGCCAUUCCUUGCUCAUCACUAAGCUGAAGAUAGAGUGUUGGUAGAAUGCUUACAUAUCAAGGAAUAAAAGCAAUUGAGCUGGUUGUGCAGUGUUUCCAAUAUUCUGUGAAUCAAUUUCCCCAACAUUAUCUAUGAAACCAAAUCUCUGUGUUAGAUUGGAUUAUUGUUCCCAAUCCUUCUUGUUCUCCUGGCUCUACAAUUAUACACCUGUGCCUUUUGGCAUGAAGUUUUGCAUUACCUUCCACUAUUGAUGUUCAACUUGGCCAUAUGACUUGUUUGGCCAAUGGAAUGUUGGUGAAUAUGAUGAGAGGAGAGGUGUUAAAUGUAUUUGAAUGAUUUGGCUUGACCUCUUGCCAGAAGGAGACAUGUGGUGAAGACUUGAAUCUGACCUGCAUCCUGGAGCCAAGUCCAGCUGAAUUCAGCUGAACCCAACCAAGUCUUAAGGAGCCCAGAUGAGAUGAGCUGAAUCUCAGUUCAUAUACAGACCCAUAAGGGAGAAAAAUAAAUGACUACCAUAAGCCACUGAUAAGUUGGGAUUAUCUGUUACAUAAUAUUAUUAUUGCAGCAAGCAAUAGCUGACUAACUCAACAUGAUUUCCUCAUGGAUUUGUGGUGUUACCAUGAUCACAUAUCAGAUUCUCUUAUGUAAAUGGGUUGUUUCUGAGUUCUCUAUUCUGUUUCAUGGUUCUGUAUGUCUGCUACUAUAAAAAAUGACCGACUUAUAAAGAAAUUUAGUCUUCCAUGUGCAUUUUAGAAUACGUUUAAAUUCCCCAAAUCUUGCUACAAGUUUGGUUUGCAUUGAAUUUAUAAACACAUUUAGAGAUAAUUGAGAUCUUAAUAACGUUACAUCAUCUUAUCCAUAAACAUUAUAUAUACCUCUAUUUGGGUUUCCUUUGAAUUCCUUCAAUAAAUUCAAAUAUGUUAAUUCCUGGAUACUUUAUAGUUUUGUUGCUUUUAUAAAUAGUAUCUUAUUUUCUAGUUUGUUAGUGUAAGUGUGAAUGAAUACUUUCAG
Molecule: long non-coding RNA, 4450 nt
Filed under: Homo sapiens (human)
Lineage: Eukaryota; Metazoa; Chordata; Mammalia; Primates; Hominidae
Description: HSALNT0032735
Source: RNAcentral